UACGGGGGGAGCAAGCGUUGUUCGGAUUUACUGGGCGUAAAGCGUGCGCAGGCGGUUUGUUAAGUCCGCUGUGAAAUCCCCGAGCUCAACUUGGGAAUUGCAGUGGAUACUGGCAAGCUGGAGUAUGGUAGAGGAAGGUGGAAUUCCCGGUGUAGCAGUGAAAUGCGUAGAGAUCGGGAGGAACACCAGUGGCGAAGGCGGCCUUCUGGACCAAUACUGACGCUCAUGCACGAAAGCGUGGGGAGCAAACAGG
This 253-nucleotide ribosomal RNA is filed under the name uncultured bacterium. Its description in RNAcentral is "partial 16S ribosomal RNA". It matches the Rfam family "Bacterial small subunit ribosomal RNA", at positions 524 to 776 of the family's 1533-position model. The record is from RNAcentral.